Molecule: long non-coding RNA, 540 nt
Organism: Armigeres subalbatus
Lineage: Eukaryota; Metazoa; Arthropoda; Insecta; Diptera; Culicidae
Exons: 2
Source: RefSeq, a predicted model, not a curated record
AAACUAUUUAUAGGAUAAAAUCUAUACCAUUUUAGUAUAAAUGAGAUUUAUUCGUUGCUCAGUUUAAACAGUAUUCCAUCAUAGUAUACAAAUUAAACUACCGAAGAUUUGCGCGGAAGUAUUUUCUCUAGUAUAUUUGGUGUUGACAGUUCGUCAAUAGCGUGUAAAAUAAGCGCUCAUUAAGUACAAAAGUGAAAUUCUUGAACUUAUUCUAGAAUUUAAAAAUGCAUGGCGAUGGUAAACACAUCACUUGCGUGAAAGGCAAUGCCGGUGCAUUGAUGAUGCCAUCUCCAAAAACCAUGAUCGAAUCAGCGGAUAAACUGUUUCUUGGAAGCAGUUGGACUAUGAGAUGCCGCGGUACAUUUCAUCGGGUGCUACGAAACCGAAACGCGUCGGAUAAUGCCGUAUCCAUGAACUUCGAAGCGAUGAGUAAACAAGAGAGUUUUGAGCCUAAUUAAUUUGUUAAGAUUUAGUCGGAUUAAGUUUUAAGAUGUAUUCAGAAAUAUUGUAACGCGAAAUAAAAGCUAAAUUACGAUCAUA